ACGGGAGGCAGCAGUAGGGAAUAUUGGUCAAUGGGGGAAACCCUGAACCAGCGACGCCGCGUGAGUGAAGAAGUAUUUCGGUAUGUAAAGCUCUAUCAGCAGGGACGAUAAUGACGGUACCUGACUAAGAAGCCCCGGCUAACUACGUGCCAGCAGCCGCGGUAAUACGUAGGGGGCAAGCGUUAUCCGGAUUUACUGGGUGUAAAGGGAGCGUAGGUGGCCAUGCAAGUCAGAUGUGAAAACCCGGGGCUCAACCCCGUGGCUGCAUUUGAAACUGCGUGGCUGGAGUACAGGAGAGGUAAGCGGAAUUCCUAGUGGAGCGGUGAAAUGCGUAGAUAUUAGGAGGAACACCAGUGGCGAAGGCGGCUUACUGGACGAUUACUGACGCUGAGGCUCGAAAGCGUGGGGAGCAAACAGGAUUAGAUACCCUGGUA
This 434-nucleotide ribosomal RNA is filed under the name uncultured Lachnospiraceae bacterium. RNAcentral's name for it is "partial 16S ribosomal RNA". It matches the Rfam family "Bacterial small subunit ribosomal RNA", at positions 341 to 792 of the family's 1533-position model. Lineage: Bacteria; Bacillati; Bacillota; Clostridia; Lachnospirales; Lachnospiraceae. The record is from RNAcentral.